This 328-nucleotide ribosomal RNA is filed under the name uncultured eukaryote. RNAcentral describes it as "partial 18S ribosomal RNA". It matches the Rfam family "Eukaryotic small subunit ribosomal RNA", at positions 1470 to 1796 of the family's 1831-position model. The record is from RNAcentral.
CCCUUAGAUGUCCUGGGCCGCACGCGCGUUACACUGAUGCAUUCAACGAGCUUAUAACCUUGGCCGAGAGGCCUUGGCAAUCUUGUUAACGUGCAUCGUGAUAGGGAUAGAUUAUUGAAAUUAUUAAUCUUGAACGAGGAAUUCCUAGUAAACGCAGAUCAUCAAUCUGCAUUGAUUACGUCCCUGCCCUUUGUACACACCGCCCGUCGCACCUACCGAUUGGAUGGUCCGGUGAAGCCUCGGGAUUGUGGUUCUUGCCGCUUUAUUGUAGCGUGACCGCGAGAACUUGUCUAAACCUUAUCAUCUAGAGGAAGGUGAAGUCGUAACA